Molecule: long non-coding RNA, 225 nt
Organism: Humulus lupulus (European hop)
Lineage: Eukaryota; Viridiplantae; Streptophyta; Magnoliopsida; Rosales; Cannabaceae
Exons: 2
Source: RefSeq, a predicted model, not a curated record
UUCGACGAUGACGACAACAACGCCUACUAUAGAGGGAGGUGAAUUCGACGUGACGUUGCUGGGGUUCUCCGCACCUGGGGUCCGUUAAAUUCGCCCGUUCCGUUCUUCCCUUCCGUCGAAGUCAAGACCCAACAAGCAUUGAAUCCUCUCUCUCACGAAUCUCAAGCCUGAAAUCAUGGUUGAGUGUUUAACCUCUGAUUUUCGAGGUGACUUGACUGUUGUGCA